ACGGGACGCGCUGCGGGUCGCGUCACGCCGCACGCGCCCUCAACUGAUCGCGCGUGGGUUCUUAGGGAGCCCGACGUCCGGGCUCCCGCUGGGUGGGGCUUCCUGGGCGGAGGCAGUCCCUUCUGGGCGGCCCAGGAUCCCGGCCCAGUUGACCUGCUUAGCUGCAGUCUCCCGCCCUCAAUCCGAAAGGGCGGACGUGGGGCGGGGGGAGGGUGUCUGGAGGAAGCGCGCGCGGGACUAGGCCGUGGGGCUGAGGCGGUUCUUGGGCGGAGCCCCGCCCUAGUCUCCGCCCUUGACGGGCCGGACCCGCCCUCCGAGAGCCGCACGGCAGCCCGCCACGGAAAUGGGUCCAGUGCCUUAUAAAGAAGCUUCAUAGAAAUCCCAGCCCCUGCCACCACAUGAGGACACAGCCAGAAGGCACCAGCUGUGAACCAAGAAAAGGGCCUUCACCAGAAUGUGACCAUGUUGGUGCUUUGACCUCAGAUUUUCCAGCCUCCAGAACUGUGAACAGUAAACAUCUGCUGUUUAUAAGCGCCCAGUUGGUGGUAUUUUGUUAUAGCAGCCUGAACAGACUAAGACAACUACUGUAUUUACACUGUAUCAACU
Molecule: long non-coding RNA, 606 nt
Organism: Bos taurus (domestic cattle)
Lineage: Eukaryota; Metazoa; Chordata; Mammalia; Artiodactyla; Bovidae
Source: Ensembl